This 357-nucleotide unclassified non-coding RNA is filed under the name uncultured Venturiaceae. RNAcentral describes it as "sequence contains ITS2". The stretch from base 1 to 154 matches the Rfam family "5.8S ribosomal RNA". The record is from RNAcentral. Lineage: Eukaryota; Fungi; Ascomycota; Dothideomycetes; Venturiales; Venturiaceae.
AACUUUUGGCAACUGAUCACUUGGUUCUGGCAACGAUGAAGAACGCAGCGAAAUGCGAUAAGUAAUGUGAAUUGCAGAAUUCAGUGAAUCAUCGAAUCUUUGAACGCACAUUGCGCCCCCUGGUAUUCCGGGGGGCACACCUGUUCGAGCGCCAUUUCAGCCCUCAAGCCCCGCUUGGUGAUGGGCCCCGCCUGCGGGCGGGCCCGAAACUCGUGGGCGUCGUCGUUCGGCUCCAAGCGUAGCAAAACCCUCGCUUGGGCGCCCGGACGGUGGCCGCCCGGAACGAAUUUUUACAAGGUUGGCCUCGGAUCAGGUGGGGAUACCCGCUGAACUUAAGCAUAUCAAUAAGCGGAGGCU